This 253-nucleotide ribosomal RNA is filed under the name uncultured bacterium. RNAcentral's name for it is "partial 16S ribosomal RNA". It matches the Rfam family "Bacterial small subunit ribosomal RNA", at positions 524 to 776 of the family's 1533-position model. The record is from RNAcentral.
UACGUAGGGUGCAAGCGUUAAUCGGAAUUACUGGGCGUAAAGCGUGCGCAGGCGGUUAUAUAAGACAGAUGUGAAAUCCCCGGGCUCAACCUGGGAACUGCAUUUGUGACUGUAUAGCUAGAGUACGGCAGAGAGGGAUGGAAUUCCGCGUGUAGCAGUGAAAUGCGUAGAUAUGCGGAGGAACACCGAUGGCGAAGGCAAUCCCCUGGGCCUGUACUGACGCUCAUGCACGAAAGCGUGGGGAGCAAACAGG